RNAcentral lists this small nuclear RNA (96 nucleotides) under Nannospalax galili (Upper Galilee mountains blind mole rat). The record is from RNAcentral. Lineage: Eukaryota; Metazoa; Chordata; Mammalia; Rodentia; Spalacidae.
AUGUUCACUUUGGCAGCACGUAUGAAAAACUGGAACAAUACAGAGGAGACCCCUGCACAAGGGUGAUAGGCAGUUUGUAAAGCAUUCCAUAUAUUU